CUACGGGUGGCAGCAGUCGAGAAUCUUCCGCAAUGGGCGAAAGCCUGACGGAGCAAUGCCGCGUGCAGGAUGAAGGCCUUCGGGUCGUAAACUGCUGUCACCGGGGAUGAAUAAUGACAGUACCCGGGGAGGAAGUCACGGCUAACUACGUGCCAGCAGCCGCGGUAAUACGUAGGUGACAAGCGUUGUUCGGAUUUAUUGGGCGUAAAGGGUUCGUAGGAUGUUGAUUAAGAUUGGUGUGAAAUCCCAAGGCUCAACCUUGGAACUGCAUUGAUUACUCAUGAACUAGAGUGUCGUAGAGGAAAGCGGAAUUCCAGGUGUAGCGGUGGAAUGCGUAGAUAUCUGGAAGAACACCGACAGCGAAGGCAGCUUUCUGGGCGAUAACUGACUCUGAGGAACGAAAGCAUGGGGAGCAAACAGGAUUAGAUACCCGAGUAGUC
This 440-nucleotide ribosomal RNA is filed under the name uncultured bacterium. RNAcentral's name for it is "partial 16S ribosomal RNA". It matches the Rfam family "Bacterial small subunit ribosomal RNA", at positions 339 to 795 of the family's 1533-position model. The record is from RNAcentral.